Phytophthora infestans T30-4 is the source of this 45-nucleotide non-coding RNA. Lineage: Eukaryota; Oomycota; Peronosporomycetes; Peronosporales; Peronosporaceae. The record is from Rfam.
AUUCUGGUGUUUUUUAACACCACCCUUUUUAAAAGAACAGUCAAA